This is a long non-coding RNA of Camarhynchus parvulus, 2592 nucleotides long. Lineage: Eukaryota; Metazoa; Chordata; Aves; Passeriformes; Thraupidae. The record is from Ensembl.
CCUGGGAUGGACAAAAAUGGGAGGGAAGGCUGGGACAAGAUAGGUGCUUAUUCCACUCUUGCAACUGCUUUUACACAGUCUGCAAAACUAAUGCUGCCACUAACCUCAGUAUUUUGUUCCACCUUUCCUGUCAGUUAGAAGUGAUCUGCCUAAGCAAUUCCUAGACAAGUUCUUCCCACAGUUCUCUCCCAACUAAUUAAAUUCUACUUCUCUACCACAGGUUUGAUUUGAUAUGAGAUGGCAUGUAAAUUACUGGCAUUUUUAAGACAAAAUAUCAAAGCCUUCAAGCCAUUAAGCAUUUCUUUUACUAUCAGAACACCACAUAUUAGCUGAUGUGUUUGACAUCUUAGAACUCAUGAAAUUAAAACAUUUUAAGUUUUUUCACACAGGUUAACCUUCUGAGUAUUUAAUUUUUGAAUAUAAAUUCAUUUUUUACAGAUUGAUGCUUCCCUCAGAUUUGAAUCUAUUCAGAUAAUUUCCUAACAUUUUCCUUCAUCCUUGUUUAUUACAUAAAAGAUUGUUUUAUUGCAACAACCUCCACAUUCCUCAUUUGAGUAUUACAUUUCAGUGAUCAUAAAUAAAGACUACAACAUGCAUAUGAUAAUUUGAAUGUGACAAUUUGCAAUAUACAUGAAAAUCUUUCUUUGCAGGGUGGUGAAACACACAAACCAGGAUAUGGAAGCGGAAAAUUCUAUGAGCAUAAAUCUGCUCAUAAGGGACACAAGGGAUCCUAUCAUGAGGGCCAGGGCACUCUUUCCAGAAUCUUUAAACUGGGAAGCUCUGGGUCCCGACCUGGAUCGCGGUCUGGUUCCCCCAUUGCUAGGCGCUGAAGCUCCAAGAUGCCAUCCAAGGAUCAUGUACUCUGCUUCAUAAUAUAACUGCCUUAAAAUUAGUAACAGCUGCCACAAUUACCUAGAUAGAUGCAAUCCAUUACUUAAUGCCAAUUAGUAGUAAUACCAUGCAGUAGAUGAUACAAACUUCUAUUGGCAAUCCCUGAGCAACAGUUGAAUGAAAGGAACACAAAAAGUAGCUUUGCUAGAUGUUUUCCUUAUUUUAUGUGAAGUAACAAGAUCUCUGACUUUACCCCUUCUUCUUCAGGAUGCCCUAACUGUAUGCUGGACUCCUUUAUUUCUCCCAAGCAGCUAAUUUAAGCUCAACCCUUCUGGUUUCAUUUUAGUGAACAUCAGAAUUACAAAUAAAGAGCUAUAAUGCCUUGGAUACUGAGCACUGCUGUUAAUGAAUUUUUGAGACACUGCUGUUAAAAACAAAACAAAAAAAAAAUCCAACAUGUGCAGAAGUUGUAAGGACUGUUUAUCCAAAUUUUCUUUUUAGUUUUUUUUUCUUUUGUUUUGUUUUAAUCUUCCUUCUCUCACUCACAGAAUAAUUUAUUUUCAUAACAGGAUUAGGCAGUCAUGGAAAGGUUUAUCAAACAUUGGGAGUUCAAGGUAUGUGAAGUGUGGGAGGGGGCAGAUGUUGAAGAAUCAAUAUGAUGUGGAGCAAUAGCAAUAAGGAAAUUCUUUCCAUACUAUGAUUUGCUCAUUGCAUCCAAACCAUGAGAAUAAAGAGUAGAUGAGGGAGAGAAAGAGGAUUUCAAAUUUGAGUUAGACUAAUGUUACAAAACAAGGGAUAUUCCCAGAGAAACAUCUAAGACUGCACACGUGACCACUGGACGUCACUGGUGCUUCACAUAAACUCUGCUGCAAUAGCAUUAACUUUGCAGUACAAUAAGUAAAUAAGCAUAUAAACAAAAAAGUCUAAUUUCUGAAAGAAAGCCCUUCAGUACUGGUAUCUCAGAUAGUCCUGCACAUCUCACAUUAGAAUUUCAAAUCUUUCUCUUGGUAUUGCAGCAGUGUUGUAUUUGAUUGGCUCAUCUUUUGCCUGAGUAACACCUGGAUGCCUUUUAAGGGCAGUGCACCAAAGCAAACUUGUAGUAAACUACUGUGAACAUUUAACUGUUGUAUUGUAGUUGCCUCGUAGAAAUAGAUUAUAGUUCAGUUAGAUUUAGAUAUGAAUUGUUCACAAAUUACUAAAAUGAAUGUGUGGAUAUGGUAUUUCCAACCACACUUUGGGAAAUAAAAGGCUCUUCUGAAUUGCACUGUUUUAUUACUUAAACUUACAAUUUCUUCAACCUGUCAUCUAAGUGUCAGAUUAAUUAUUUUAUUUUUUUAGUUUUAGCCUAUGCACUGUAGAUUACAGUUAGUGCUUCCUAGGUUGAAACAGCAUUCCUAAUAAGUGCCCAGUAAAAGUUACCUAUAAAUAUAUGUUAUUUACAUUUCACAUCUAGAACUAUUGUAGGUUUAAAUCAGUGUCCAUUAAUAUGAAGCAAUGGAAGAUGAGAUGAUAGAAAAUACAUAGAGACUAAAGAAAACAAAACUGCCAAAAUUAUUAUGCAUACACACACUAUUACAUCUAUUACCUUUGUUGGUUGCUAUGUGUAUUUUUCUAUUGUAGCUUCAUUCAGAUGUAUACUCUGCAACGUAAUAGUUGAUUUAAUUUGAACACGUAUUGUUCUUAGAGGAACACAGCUUUUAAAAAUAGUCACUAUUGAAAUAAAGUAAUCAACUUGAAAUGAAACUUGGGCCAGUUUUGUUU